RNAcentral lists this long non-coding RNA (325 nucleotides) under Salvia miltiorrhiza (redroot sage). Its description in RNAcentral is "long non-coding RNA (SMIL_LNC012712)". The record is from RNAcentral. Lineage: Eukaryota; Viridiplantae; Streptophyta; Magnoliopsida; Lamiales; Lamiaceae.
UUUAUAUACUCAUGCACAACCCAUGUUUCCACCACUUGUGCCUCUCAAACCACCACCAACUCCGUAAUUCUUACAUCCUCCAAUUUUUUCAGAUGAUCUCCGCGGAGCCCCUCCACUCCCGCUCCGACUCCGACUCCGACGAGAUGGGGUCCAGCGCGCGGAUAUCCUUCUCGUCGGAGUUUCUCGACGAGAGCAACUUCAUCACCAUAUGCCCCAACCCCGAGGCGGAGCGGGAGGAGCGGGAGGCCGCGGAGCGGGGGCGGGCCCCGCGGCCGGGCGUUGACUUCGAGUUCCUCUCGGGGAACCUGACGAGCAUGAUCGCGGC